Molecule: long non-coding RNA, 343 nt
Organism: Fukomys damarensis (Damara mole-rat)
Lineage: Eukaryota; Metazoa; Chordata; Mammalia; Rodentia; Bathyergidae
Source: Ensembl
CUUAUUUUUCUAUUUAAAUUAUUUAUUAUAAAAUCUUCUGUAGGUAACCCCAAAAUGAUCUGCAGUAUGCUUACUUUCAUCACCUGUGAAAUAGUAAAACUGCAAUUACUUAGUAUUACUGUGAAGAAAAAAAUAAGAUGAUGGACUGGAACAUUAUUCAUGGGUACCGUGGUAACGUCAGUGGUGGUCUAACACUCAGAGAAGACCUUGGGACAGAUACCAGGGUGUCUACCCCAAGGAAGACGCUUACAUCACAUGUCAUUGACUUAGCUGCGGUGGUAACUAAUGACUUCGAAAUGUCAACGUACAAAGCCAGUAAUUAAAGUAUGUUUACAAACAGGAA